AGCAUGGUCUUAGCUUGCUAAGGCCGAUGGCGACCGGCGCACGGGUGAGUAACACGUAUCCAACUUGCCGUCUACUCUUGGACAGCCUUCUGAAAGGAAGAUUCCUACAAGAUGGCAUCAUGAGUCCGCAUGUUCACAUGAUUAAAGGUAUUCCGGUAGACGAUGGGGAUGCGUUCCAUUAGAUAGUAGGCGGGGUAACGGCCCACCUAGUCUUCGAUGGAUAGGGGUUCUGAGAGGAAGGUCCCCCACAUUGGAACUGAGACACGGUCCAAACUCCUACGGGAGGCAGCAGUGAGGAAUAUUGGUCAAUGGGCGAGAGCCUGAACCAGCCAAGUAGCGUGAAGGAUGACUGCCCUAUGGGUUGUAAACUUCUUUUAUAAAGGAAUAAAGUCGGGUAUGGAUACCCGUUUGCAUGUACUUUAUGAAUAAGGAUCGGCUAACUCCGUGCCAGCAGCCGCGGUAAUACGGAGGAUCCGAGCGUUAUCCGGAUUUAUUGGGUUUAAAGGGAGCGUAGAUGGAUGUUUGAGUCAGUUGUGAAAGUUUGCGGCUCAACCGUAAAAUUGCAGUUGAUACUGGAUAUCUUGAGUGCAGUUGAGGCAGGCGGAAUUCGUGGUGUAGCGGUGAAAUGCUUAGAUAUCACGAAGAACUCCGAUUG
RNAcentral lists this ribosomal RNA (655 nucleotides) under uncultured Bacteroides sp. RNAcentral's name for it is "bacterial SSU rRNA". It matches the Rfam family "Bacterial small subunit ribosomal RNA", at positions 68 to 715 of the family's 1533-position model. The record is from RNAcentral. Lineage: Bacteria; Pseudomonadati; Bacteroidota; Bacteroidia; Bacteroidales; Bacteroidaceae.